AGCCACGGCUAACUACGUGCCAGCAGCCGCGGUAAUACGUAGGUGGCAAGCGUUAUCCGGAAUUAUUGGGCGUAAAGCGCGCGCAGGUGGUUUCUUAAGUCUGAUGUGAAAGCCCACGGCUCAACCGUGGAGGGUCAUUGGAAACUGGGAGACUUGAGUGCAGAAGAGGAAAGUGGAAUUCCAUGUGUAGCGGUGAAAUGCGUAGAGAUAUGGAGGAACACCAGUGGCGAAGGCGACUUUCUGGUCUGUAACUGACACUGAGGCGCGAAAGCGUGGGGAGCAAACAGGAUUAGAUACCCUGGUAGUCCACGCCGUAAACGAUGAGUGCUAAGUGUUAGAGGGUUUCCGCCCUUUAGUGCUGAAGUUAACGCAUUAAGCACUCCGCCUGGGGAGUACGGGCCGCAAGGCUGAAACUCAAAGGAAUUGACGGGGGGCCCCGCACAAGCGGUGGAGCAUGUGUUUUAAUUUCGAAAGCAAACCCGAAGAACCCUUACCAGGGUCUUGACAUCCUCUGAAAACCCUAGAGAUAGGGCUUCUCCUUCGGGAGCAGAGUGACAGGUGGUGCAUGGUUGUCGUCAGCUCGUGUCGUGAGAUGUUGGGUUAAGUCCCGCAACGAGCGCAACCCUUGAUCUUAGUUGCCAUCAUUAAGUUGGGCACUCUAAGGUGACUGCCGGUGACAAACCGGAGGAAGGUGGGGAUGACGUCAAAUCAUCAUGCCCCUUAUGACCUGGGCUA
RNAcentral lists this ribosomal RNA (735 nucleotides) under Bacillus toyonensis. RNAcentral describes it as "bacterial SSU rRNA". It matches the Rfam family "Bacterial small subunit ribosomal RNA", at positions 488 to 1216 of the family's 1533-position model. The record is from RNAcentral. Lineage: Bacteria; Bacillati; Bacillota; Bacilli; Caryophanales; Bacillaceae.